Molecule: ribosomal RNA, 400 nt
Filed under: phytoplankton environmental sample
Lineage: Eukaryota
Description: partial small subunit ribosomal RNA
Rfam family: Eukaryotic small subunit ribosomal RNA
Source: RNAcentral
AGCUCCAAUAGCGUAUAUUAAAGUUGUUGCAGUUAAAAAGCUCGUAGUUGGAUUUGUGGCGUACGGUGGGUUCCGGGCACUUGUUGUCUGAGUAAUCCGCUGUUGCCAUCCUUGGGUGGAACCUGUGUGGCAUUAGGUUGUCGUGCAGGGGAUGCCCAUCAUUUACUGUGAAAAAAUUAGAGUGUUCAAAGCAGGCUUAGGCCGUUGGAUACAUUAGCAUGGAAUAAUGAGAUAGGGCCACGGCGGUCUAUUUUGUUGGUUUGCACGUUGUGGUAAUGAUUAACAGGAACGGUUGGGGGUAUUCGUAUUCAAUUGUCAGAGGUGAAAUUCUUGGAUUUGUGGAAGACGAACUACUGCGAAAGCAUUUACCAAGGAUGUUUUCAUUAAUCAAGAACGAAAG